This 496-nucleotide ribosomal RNA is filed under the name uncultured bacterium. RNAcentral's name for it is "bacterial SSU rRNA". It matches the Rfam family "Bacterial small subunit ribosomal RNA", at positions 28 to 515 of the family's 1533-position model. The record is from RNAcentral.
GACGAACGCUGGCGGCGUGGAUUAGGCAUGCAAGUCGAACGGUAGGAUACCUUCGGGUAUCUGAGAGUGGCGAACGGGUGAGUAACACGUAGGUGAUCUACCCUCAAGAUUGGGACAACCCAGGGAAACUUGGGCUAAUACCGGAUGAAAGCAGCAGUGAUGUUGUUUGAAAGGUGGCGUAAGCUGCCGUUUGGGGAUGAGCCUGCGCUCUAUUAGUUAGUUGGCGGGGUAAAGGCCCACCAAGGCGAUGAUAGAUAGGCGGCCUUAACGGGUGGUCGCCCACACUGGGAUUGAGAUACGGCCCAGACUCCUACGGGAGGCAGCAGUCGAGAAUAGUCUACAAUGGCCGAAAGGCUGAUAGUGCGACGCCGCGUGAACGAAGAAGCCCUUCGGGGUGUAAAGUUCUUUUAUAUGUGAGCAGUGCUUUCUAUGUGAACAGCAUGGGGAAGAGAUAUUAGCAUAUGAAUAAGCAACGGCUAACUCCGUGCCCAGCACG